GUUUCAAGGUCUUUAGUUCUACUUCCUGAAUAAAGGCCUACUUUAUGUCUAACAUUAGACCUACUUCCUGACUACAGGUAUAAAGGCCUACUUUAGGUCUAACAUUAGAUCUACUUCCUGACUACAGGUAUAAAGGUCUAUAGUUCUACUGCCUGACUACAGAGUGUCUAUAGGUCUCUUAAGGUGUUGCUAUCUAAUGUGAACACCUCAAAGCUGAACAUUUUCCAUUGACGUCACGUUGGUGUGAAACCUGUUUACCUCGAUGCUAGACCCUCCUCUUCCUGUCACAACAUGGGUUUCAGAGAAAAGGACCACGAGCUGAAAACUUUCCACUCAAUUGAACCAAUCGCUGCUCGUAUGUCCUUUCAUGGUAAAGUACAUCGAGUCAUGAACACGGAAAUACGCAGCAAAGACCUUGUUACUCAAAGACCCAGCUACUCUCUGACAGUCACCAUCAGACCAUCAGACCACCAGAUGGACAGGCUGUGUGUUUCUCUGAUUGCAUUCUUAUGUGCUGUUUCCGCCAGUCAGGAUGGGAUCUCUGCAGCAGAGGUGGAGCUGAGAGUCAGACCAGGAGACAGUGGAGGAAGGAGACCUGUUUUACGCCUCGUUGGAUAUCCGUCAGGGACAGAGGAGACCAAAGAAGAAGAAGAAGAGAGUCCAGAACUCUGACUUCAGUACCUACACAGCCAUCAAUACCAGCAGAGUGAGACCUAUACCAGCCAUCAAUACCAGCAGAGUGUGAGACCUAUACCAUCCAUCAAUACCAGCAGAGUGAGACCUAUACCAUCCAUCAAUACCAGCAGAGUGUGAGACCUAUACCAUCCAUCAAUACCAGCAGAGUGAGACCUAUACCAUCCAUCAAUACCAGCAGAGUGUGAGACCUAUACCAUCCAUCAAUACCAGCAGAGUGAGACCUAUACCAUCCAUCAAUACCAGCAGAGUGUGGUCUCUGAACUUCUCUAUCAGAGACCAGUCAUUCUCCAUGUCUGUAGUGAAUUGAACUUCUCUAUCAGAGACCAGUCAUUCUCCAUGUCUGUAGUGAAUUGAACUUCUCUAUCAGAGACCAGUCAUUCUCCUUGUCUGUAGUGAAUUGAACUUCUCUAUCAGAGACCAGUCAUUCUCCUUGUCUGUAGUGAAUUGAACUUCUCUAUCAGAGACCAGUCAUUCUCCUUGUCUGUAGUGAAUUGAACUUCUCUAUCAGAGACCAGUCAUUCUCCUUGUCUGUAGUGAAUUGAACUUCUCUAUCAGAGACCAGUCAUUCUCCUUGUCUGUAGUGAAUUGAACUUCUCUAUCAGAGACCAGUCAUUCUCCAUGUCUGUAGUGAAUUGAACUUCUCUAUCAGAGACCAGUCAUUCUCCUUGUCUGUAAUGAACUUCUCUUCUACGUGUCCAAUUAGAUCAGCAUCAAACUGUUGUCAUUUGUUAUUUUGCCUUUAUUUUUUAUUUAUAGAGAUCCUUUUAACACAAAGUUUCUACUUUUAUCUGAACUUUUUUGUCGCUUCUUUUAUAAUGUAAUAUUUUUUUACCAUUUAAAAAUGUCUCCAACAUUUUAUUGUUGUGCAUUUUCUAUUUUUUAUGGACAUAAUGAUCAGGUCUGAUUUAUAGUUCAGAUUGAGAUAAUGAUAAUAUGUGAUUUAUAGUUCAGAUUGAGAUAAUGAUAAUGUCUGAUUUGCAGUCUGUGUAUCUAACCUAAAGCAGCAGGUGUAAAAGUGUAUCCAC
RNAcentral lists this long non-coding RNA (1721 nucleotides) under Salmo salar (Atlantic salmon). RNAcentral's name for it is "lncRNA (ENSSSAG00000112624.1)". The record is from RNAcentral. Lineage: Eukaryota; Metazoa; Chordata; Actinopteri; Salmoniformes; Salmonidae.